GUGAGGGUGAUCUGGCUGCAACAUCUAUCACCCUUUUAAUUGCUAGGGUUGGUCCUACUGGUCUGGCCAUGUAGACAGGUGUUUCCUUCCUCCCUUACCCCAUCCCUCUGGAAGCUGAGCACUCAGUCCAGUGGACCAUCUUCCCCUAGAGAAGAGGACCAUCAAAAAAAAAAAAAAAAGAAAGAAAGAAAGAAAGAAAAAGAAAAGAAAGAAAAAGGAAGGACUAUGCUUAUGCUUUCCUCCAAGGUACGUGAGUGGCUGCACUCCCCUGAUAGAAAUCCGAAAGAAGCCCUCAAGGCUCCUUUGUAAAAGGACAUUAGGUAACUUUCCAAAACUCUACAUAUGAGCCCCUGGGGCACUGCACGUGGCAGACAUCCUAUAUUA
Molecule: small nuclear RNA, 384 nt
Filed under: Otolemur garnettii (small-eared galago)
Lineage: Eukaryota; Metazoa; Chordata; Mammalia; Primates; Galagidae
Description: 7SK RNA
Rfam family: 7SK RNA
About the family: 7SK was discovered as an abundant small nuclear RNA in the mid-70s but a possible function has only recently been suggested.
Source: Rfam by way of RNAcentral